RNAcentral lists this ribosomal RNA (589 nucleotides) under Helicobasidium purpureum. RNAcentral's name for it is "eukaryotic LSU rRNA". It matches the Rfam family "Eukaryotic large subunit ribosomal RNA", at positions 66 to 648 of the family's 3401-position model. The record is from RNAcentral. Lineage: Eukaryota; Fungi; Basidiomycota; Pucciniomycetes; Helicobasidiales; Helicobasidiaceae.
UAACAAGGAUUCCCCCAGUAACGGCGAGUGAAGAGGGAACAGCCCAAAUUUGUAAUCUGGCCCUUUUAGGGUCCGAGUUGUAAUCUCGAGAACUGUUUUCCGUGCCGGACCAUGUACAAGUCUGUUGGAAUAUAGCUUCAUAGAGGGUGAGAAUCCCGUACAUGACAUGGACCACCGGUGCUUUGUGAUACAGUCUCUAAGAGUCGAGUUGUUUGGGAAUGCAGCUCAAAUUGGGUGGUAAAUUCCAUCUAAGGCUAAAUAUUGGCGAGAGACCGAUAGCGAACAAGUACCGUGAGGGAAAGAUGAAAAGCACUUUGGAAAGAGAGUUAACAGUACGUGAAAUUGUUGAAAGGGAAACGCUUGAAGUCAGCCUUGUUCUUGGUUGUUCAGCCUUAGGGCGUAUUCAACUUUGAGCAGGCCAGCAUCAGUUUUGGGUGCCGGAUAAGGGCUUGGGAAAUGUGGCAGCUUAGGCUGUGUUAUAGUCCUUUGCUUGAUACGGUGCCUGGGACUGAGGAACGCAGCGAGCCUUUUGGCGGGUCCCCUUGGGGGCCUUCUCGCUUUGGAUGCUGGCGUAAUGGCUUUAAACGAC